Molecule: long non-coding RNA, 515 nt
Organism: Lagenorhynchus albirostris (white-beaked dolphin)
Lineage: Eukaryota; Metazoa; Chordata; Mammalia; Artiodactyla; Delphinidae
Exons: 3
Source: RefSeq, a predicted model, not a curated record
GGCUCCGGAUGCGCAGGCUCAGCGGCCAUGGCUCAUGGGCCCAGCCGCUCCGCGGCAUGUGGAAUCUUCCCGGACCGGGGCACGAACCCGUGUCCCCUGCAUUGUGGACUCUCAACCACUGCGCCACCAGGGAAGCCCCCUGGAAUUUCUUUUUUUGCUCUCAGAUUCAAGGAGGUUUAAGAAGGAAACUCCUAAGGCUUUUGAAAUGUGGAGGCUCUGGGGCCUGGGACCGGGUGGAGAAGAAUAUCCCUCCAAGGCGAGGAUCCAAGGUGACAAAAUCCUGGGAAGCAAGACCAGGGCUCCUGAAUCCGCAGGCAGAAAAGGGAAGCAGAUGUUUGGUCCCGACGCCUGUGAACACACAUCUCUCCUCGGAGGGCUGCCUCUGAGUCAAGGAAAGGGAAGCUGGAAAGCGUCAUAUUCCCUGCCUGAAACGAGGAGUGAGGGGGAGAAAAUAGGAGAACCAACACAAGGAAAUGAAUUUAUAUAAGUUAUCAUUUUUCUGUAACGAGUAACCA